UACGUAGGUGGCAAGCGUUAUCCGGAAUUACUGGGCGUAAAGCGCACGCAGGCGGUUCUUUAAGUUUGACGUGAAAGCUCCCGGCUUAACUGGGAGAGGUCGUUGAAGACUGGAGGACUUGAGUUUAGGAGAGGGGUGCAGAAUUCCCGGAGUAGUGGUGGAAUGCGUAGAUAUCGGGAGGAAUACCAGUGGCGAAAGCGGCACCCUAGCCUUUAACUGACGCUCAUGUGCGAAAGCGUGGGGAGCAAACGGG
Molecule: ribosomal RNA, 253 nt
Filed under: uncultured bacterium
Lineage: Bacteria
Description: partial 16S ribosomal RNA
Rfam family: Bacterial small subunit ribosomal RNA
Source: RNAcentral